UCUCAUAUCUGACUCUAAAAUCAUUAAAUGGUAAACGGUUAGGAAAACCAGCCCUUGUGAUUCUGAUUCCUUCCAAAACACCAUUACAUCGAAGUUGUCCUAAAACGAGGGGUCUAUUAAAGGUGUGCAUUUUCUUUUCUUCGUUUGGAACAAUACAACGAAUAAAGUGAGGUUGGGUCGAGUUAAAUUGAUUCAUAAGCUGAUUGAGCUGCUCUUUAUGCCUUUGAGCAACAGUUCGAAAAAGGCCCUUUUUCGUCCUUCCCCUAACAGUUUUAGUCUCAGUUUCCUGAUAAUCAGAAAAUAGUGUAGCGACAUGCUUGUUAGUAGAUUGCGCAAGCAACUUAGCAACGUUUUCAUUCAAAGGAUCGGUGUUCUUCUCCAGCCAACCUUCUGUACUGUAAGGAACAUCAGCGGCAUAAUGAGUCAAAAUAAAACCUUGAUCGGCAAACUUAAAAGGUUUAUAUUUUAGCGACUUG
Non-coding RNA from Schizosaccharomyces pombe (fission yeast), 476 nucleotides. The record is from the annotation of a GenBank genome assembly. NCBI's taxonomy places the organism in Eukaryota, Fungi, Ascomycota, Schizosaccharomycetes, Schizosaccharomycetales, Schizosaccharomycetaceae.